UGGUGGAGUGAUUUGUCUGCUUAAUUGCGUUAACGAACGAGACCUUAACCUGCUAAAUAGUUAUGCCAACUUUUGUUGGUAGUCAACUUCUUAGAGGGACUGUCGGCGACUAGCCGACGGAAGUUUGAGGCAAUAACA
RNAcentral lists this ribosomal RNA (138 nucleotides) under uncultured eukaryote. Its description in RNAcentral is "partial 18S ribosomal RNA". It matches the Rfam family "Eukaryotic small subunit ribosomal RNA", at positions 1299 to 1458 of the family's 1831-position model. The record is from RNAcentral.